Non-coding RNA from Vicugna pacos (alpaca), 667 nucleotides. Lineage: Eukaryota; Metazoa; Chordata; Mammalia; Artiodactyla; Camelidae. The record is from RefSeq and is a predicted model, not a curated record.
GGGGAUGCAAAUCCUGGAAGUCAUCCAAAGAGUUGGAAACUCUUCCUCUUAAAGUAAAUCCAAGCGCCCAAAAAAUAAAUAUUCAAGAGCAUUAAUUUGUUUCUAGAUGUGUGCUUGCAAGUAAAACAGCAGUCAUAAUGUGGAAAUUUCAGUCACAUUUUGCAACUAAUUGGAAGCAGAUUAGAAUUCCGCCUCAGGGGAACGUUGUCAAACUAGAAGCCGGAGCAAAUGAAGAAAGAGGUGAAGGCGUCGUGAAGAGCUGACAGAUUUACAGCGCUCAGAGCUAUAAACGGGUCCUGGGAGGGAAGGAGGGCGCGGCCCCGGCUGCGCGCCCCCGCCAUCGGGAGCGCGCAGCCCGGCCACGCCCCCCGGGGGGCCCAGGCCCUCCAUCUGCCCCCACCUCGCGCCAACCAAUAAACCCGGCCUUCGCAGGAAAUCAGGGGGCCUGAUAAGAGAGAGAGACUGCAGGCUGAUGAACCCGAGCAGGCCAACGUCGGAGGGAGAGGAGGGUUCUUUUUGAAGGGGGGAGGGGAGAGAGAAAGAAAGCAGAUUGUGGAGGAUAAUACAGCAAUGGAGUAAUGGAAACAGCUGCUCGCUUUCUACUUCAGUGUCUGGCAUCUGCUGCGGCAUCAUGGGAAAGGCUGCUGAAGAAAUCGGAAGACCACAC